This 479-nucleotide ribosomal RNA is filed under the name uncultured eukaryote. Its description in RNAcentral is "partial 18S ribosomal RNA". It matches the Rfam family "Eukaryotic small subunit ribosomal RNA", at positions 592 to 976 of the family's 1831-position model. The record is from RNAcentral.
CAAUAGCGUAUAUUAAAGUUGUUGCAGUUAAAAAGCUCGUAGUUGGAUUUCGGGGCCCCGGGCGUUCGUUGCGUUUCCUGUUGGAUUCGUCUGGCGGGUGCGUGGCGGUCGUCGGUCUCUGAGUCGGAUCGGUCCGCCGAGAGGCGUGCACUGACCGACGGCCCCCGUUGUCUCUCGGGUUGCCCGCCUGCACUUAAUUGCUGCGGACGGGGAGUUCGGGACGUUUACUUUGAACAAAUUAGAGUGUUCCAAGCAGGCCGUUGCUUUGAAUACAUUAGCAUGGAAUAAUGGAAUAGGGCUGCGUGACUCGUUGCCUUCGGGUGGCGGGUCCUCGUGUCCUAUUUUGUUGGUUUUCGGGACCGCAGUCAUGGUCAAGAGGGACAGUUGGGGGCAUUCGUAUUCAGUUGUCAGAGGUGAAAUUCUUGGAUUUACGGAAGACGAACAACUGCGAAAGCAUUUGCCAAGGAUGUUUUCAUUAA